AAAGUUGAUCAAACUAUAUAGAGUGAUUCUGCAAAGCUAGGAAUGUUCACACUCAUCAAACUCACCCUAAGCCCUAGAACACUCUGAGAAAAAAUACUUUCAGUGAGCAAAGUAGCCAUCCCUGGAAUGUGAAACCAUAAAUGGCCUGGAUAUCAGAAAAUUAAGAUACAGUCAUGCUAGGAAAGAUUAGAUUUUGUGUCCAGAUUAUAUCUGAUAUAAUGCUUUAUCUGCUUGAAUCACGGCACUUAGCAUGUUUCUCUUUCCCCUGUAUCUGCAUAUCCACCUGCAAUAACAACUGUACUUUGAAGUAUGAAUAGAACACACUUAUUGUUUUCCUUCCCACCUAAUCUAUUCUUUUUCCCUUGAUGAUUGGUGACAAGUGAGUUGCACGGAAACUUUCUAGUGCAAUGUAAUUUAACUCAUGACAGUUGACUUUUGGCAAUGUUUUAAUAACCAACCUGGGGUGAAACCCGGCAAAGUUUCCGGGUCUUGGGUUGACCGGUUUAACCGGUUUGACCAGCCGGUCAAACCCAGUGACAAAACUUUUAAAAUUCUGCAAAUAUACCCCUGAAAAUUACAGUUAAGUCCCUACGGUUUAAAAUUUAUCAAACACAUCCCAAAUACAAAUCGGCUUUGACUGGUUGGCCGCGGCGACACCCCACAUGCAAUAUCAAUCAUCCCUUGAGCCCAUUCCCCAUAAAAUCUAUCCAAGAUCUGGUCGAAAUCAGUUCGAUUUCGGUCAGAUCUCAUCGACGCUGGCGUCGACAUUCUAGGCUAGAUCUCACCGAUACUGGCGUCGACAACCGUCCCCAUCACCCCGAAAAAACUCCCCUCUUCCUUCUGACCAAAACCCACCUCACCCCACCCCCAUUAGCCUCACCAAUCACCGGCAAAAGCCGGUUGUUGCCACCGCUUUUUUUUCGAUUUCCGAUCGAUUCACUCACCAGAAAUCAACUAUGUCGCCACCAUUGCACUCACUAGCACUUUCUCUUCAAAAGCCUCAACAUCUCGGCCUUCAAUUGUUCGCUGAUCAUCAUGGUUUUGGGUGAAUAGAGAAAUUGUUAACCUGGCCCGGUGAAGCUUUCGGGUCCUAGAUAAACCGUUAAAACACUGCGUUUGGUCACAAACUGCUUGGCUCUUGAUCAAAGUUGGUUGCUGUCUUUAGAAGUUUUUCUCGGGCGCUCAAACUUGAAAGGGAGAACAUGGUUAACUGAAAAAAUAUGAAGAUGCAGAAGUUUUUCUCUUCUGGACAUGGAUAAUUGGUUGAUAUAGUGGUUCUUAGCUGGAGAGAUGCAGAAACCACUUAGGAUGUUGCUGUCAAAUCUACCAUGCCGUAGCUGGUCCUCUAAAAUGUCAGUCUUCUCAAUAAGCCAUGAAGAAGAGCCCUCAAGCUCAUCAAUGUCACCUGGAGGCUGGAACGCUCUGCUAUAGGAGCCAUGAGGUGAAGCUUUAGGUGUCGAGUUUUCAGUGGAUCUAGCUGUGACUUAGUCUGCAUUGUUUGUCUCCCACAGUUUGAGCAUUUGCAAUUCAGAACCACAUGUUAAUAUCUCUUUUGUGUUUGCUUCAUAAUAAUUUGAAGAUUAUACAACUAUACUCCAUUACCUACGUAUUCGAGUUCUUUGUUGUUAGGCCAUUUUUUCUGUACUCUCAUCAUGGAAUAAAAAUGAAUGGCGCAUUUAGCAUUUCUCCUCUGUUCAUUGCAGAUGCUUCUGGCAGGACUGGUGCAAAACGGUUUCGGAUUCCUGGAUAUUGCGUGUCAGUAAAGGUAUGCUUGUUGAUUGUUGAAUACAAAAUGAAUUCUCACGCCCAGAAUGUUAUUGAUUUGAGCCUACGGUCAUACUAUAAAUACAAUCAAAACUUAUAUGACAAAAAUUAACAUAUAAUGUUUAGCUAAUAUGAUCUCCUAUUGUUGUACAAAAGGUUUGUGAUGCUCACACUGAGAAUUGGGCUUGGGGUUUUUUCUGUUUGAAUGUAGAUGUUAAAAAUUUUCAGUGAAUUUUGAGGGACAGCUUCAU
Long non-coding RNA from Pistacia vera, 2015 nucleotides. RefSeq lists it as uncharacterized. Lineage: Eukaryota; Viridiplantae; Streptophyta; Magnoliopsida; Sapindales; Anacardiaceae. The transcript is spliced from 4 exons. The record is from RefSeq and is a predicted model, not a curated record.